Molecule: ribosomal RNA, 109 nt
Filed under: uncultured eukaryote
Lineage: Eukaryota
Description: partial small subunit ribosomal RNA
Rfam family: Eukaryotic small subunit ribosomal RNA
Source: RNAcentral
UCGCUGCUACCGAUUGAAUGUUUUAGUGAGGUUCAGGGAUUGUGCUCUUUUGGGUUUACUCAAUUGUAGCGUGAAAACUGAGACAAACUUGAUCAUUUAGAGGAAGCAA